Molecule: transfer RNA, 71 nt
Filed under: Raddaella batesii
Lineage: Eukaryota; Metazoa; Chordata; Actinopteri; Cyprinodontiformes; Nothobranchiidae
Description: tRNA-Ser
Rfam family: tRNA
About the family: Transfer RNA (tRNA) molecules are approximately 80 nucleotides in length.
Source: RNAcentral
AAGAAAGUGACAGAGCGGUUAUGUGCUUGGCUUGAAACCAAAGUACGGAGGUUCAAUUCCUUCUUUUCUCG